AGCUUGUUUUGGUAAUAUAUCGUUGUGGUGCUUGUUUGUUUGACGGGUAUCUGUUUGGUUUCCUAGAAAAUGAGCUGAAAUUUAUAUCUUUAAUUUGCUGUGUGUUUUUCUUGAUUUGAAUGCUGCAACCAAUUUAACUUAGCUCGAGAUAUUGAAAUUCUAGCUGUUUUCAGCUUUACUUAAUUAAAAGUUCUGAGAUUCUUAUUUUCUGGGGCAUCUCGGCUAACUUGCUUGGCUGCUUGAGACUUUUUUUUCCGCUACUUUUUUAUGCCCUCUGUGCUGUUUUAUAUUGGUGGCAUGUGGUUUUAUAAUCGCUGUAUACGAUAUGAAGUUCUGAAUUUUGUUCGUGGAGUUUAAUGCUAAUUUUCCCUGUUUAAUCAAAUGUAACUCAGAAUCCUUUUAUUAGUUGAUGCAUGUGUUACUGGAUUGUGAAUUGUUGGAUUCUGAGUAUGUGAAAUCUGAUGCGUAUGUGUGCGUAUUAUGUAUGUAUGCAUUCAUCUAUAUGGGCACGUUGUAUAUAUGUAAGCGUUAAUCUGUAGUUUGCAAUCUUCUUUUGAGAUUUUUUUUAUGUUUGUUUGUUCACACGACUGAGAAAGUAU
This 599-nucleotide unclassified non-coding RNA is filed under the name Hevea brasiliensis (rubber tree). Lineage: Eukaryota; Viridiplantae; Streptophyta; Magnoliopsida; Malpighiales; Euphorbiaceae. The record is from RNAcentral.